AAUGCCUCAGAAUAACCAGAAGGUUAAAUUUUUAACCACACCGUUUGGUUCAGACAGAGGCUUAUAGCAAAACCCCGCAGCACAAAGGUAUUAAUAAUUCUUCCCAUUUCUUGUUAUUUGGGAUUUUCUCCUUAUAGCUGCGGAUAUUU
The sequence is a small nucleolar RNA, 149 nucleotides long. It matches the Rfam family "Small nucleolar RNA snoR138". The record is from Rfam.